This 489-nucleotide ribosomal RNA is filed under the name uncultured bacterium. RNAcentral's name for it is "partial 16S ribosomal RNA". It matches the Rfam family "Bacterial small subunit ribosomal RNA", at positions 29 to 507 of the family's 1533-position model. The record is from RNAcentral.
GUGAACGCUGGCGGCAGGCCUAACACAUGCAAGUCGAACGGCAGCACAAGAGAGCUUGCUCUCUGGGUGGCGAGUGGCGGACGGGUGAGGAAUGCAUCGGAAUCUGCCCAUUUGUGGGGGAUAACCUCGGGAAACCGGGACUAAUACCGCAUACGACCUACGGGUGAAAGCAGGGGAUCUUCGGACCUUGCGCAGAUGGAUGAGCCGAUGCCGGAUUAGCUAGUUGGAGGGGUAAAGGCCCACCAAGGCGACGAUCCGUAGCUGGUCUGAGAGGAUGAUCAGCCACACUGGGACGGAGACACGGCCCAGACUCCUAAGGGAGGCAGCAGUGGGGAAUAUUGGACAAUGGGCGCAAGCCUGAUCCAGCCAUGCCGCGUGUGUGAAGAAGGCCUUCGGGUUGUAAAGCACUUUUGUUGGGAAAGAAAAGCAGCCGGUUAAUACCCGGUUGUCAUGACGGUACCCAAAGAAUAAGCACCGGCUAACUUCGUG